CCCGACUGCUAUUUGGGUGAGGAUAAGCCAUGCGAGUUGAAUGGGAAACCUAAAGUUCCCAUGGCAAACUGCUCAGUAACACAUGAUCAACUUACCCUAUAGAGAAAAAUAACCUCGGGAAACUGAGGAUAAUAUUUCAUAGCUGAAUUGGCUUGGAAAAGUUUUUCGGCGAAAAGGGUAAAAAAAAUGGUUUUUAUCUGCUAUAGGAUAGGAUCGUGUUCGAUUAUGGUUGUUGGUGAGGUAAUGGCUCACCAAGCCGAUAAUCGAUAGGGGCCGUGAGAGCGGGAGCCCCGAGAUGGGUACUGAGACAACGACCCAGGCCUUACGAGGCGCAGCAGGCGCGAAACCUCCGCAAUACACGAAAGUGUGACGGGGUUACCCAAAGUGUUCAAUAGAACUGUGGUAGGUGAGUAAUGUUCCCUACUAGAAAGGAGAGGGCAAGGCUGGUGCCAGCCGCCGCGGUAAAACCAGCUCUUCAAGUGGUCGGGAUAAUAUUGGGCUUAAAGUGUCCGUAGCCGGUUUAGUAAGUUCCUGGUAAAAUCGGGUAGCUUAACUAUCUAUAUGCUAGGAAUACUACUAUACUAGAGGGCGGGAGAGGUCUGAGGUACUACAGGGGUAGGGGUGAAAUCCUAUAAUCCCGGGAGGACCACCAGUGGCGAAGGCUGUCGACUAGAACGCGCUCGACGGUGAGGGACGAAAGCUGGGGGAGCGAACCGGAUUAGAUACCCGGGUAGUCCCAGCCGUAAACGAUGCGAGCUAGGUGUUGGAAUGGCUACGUGCCAUUUCAGUGCCGCAGGGAAGCCAUUAAGCUCGCCGCCUGGGGAGUACGGCCGCAAGGCUGAAACUUAAAGGAAUUGGCGGGGGAGCGCCACAAGGCGUGAAGCUUGCGGUUCA
This 894-nucleotide ribosomal RNA is filed under the name uncultured archaeon. RNAcentral's name for it is "bacterial SSU rRNA". It matches the Rfam family "Archaeal small subunit ribosomal RNA", at positions 21 to 904 of the family's 1478-position model. The record is from RNAcentral.